This 332-nucleotide unclassified non-coding RNA is filed under the name soil metagenome. RNAcentral describes it as "partial contains 5.8S ribosomal RNA, internal transcribed spacer 2, and large subunit ribosomal RNA". The stretch from base 1 to 120 matches the Rfam family "5.8S ribosomal RNA", at positions 35 to 154 of the family's 154-position model. The record is from RNAcentral.
GAUGAAGAACGUAGCGAAAUGCGAUAACUAGUGUGAAUUGCAGAAUUCAGUGAAUCAUCGAAUCUUUGAACGCACAUUGCGCCCUUUGGUAUUCCUUAGGGCAUGCCUGUUCGAGCGUCAUUUAAACCUUCAAGCUCAGCUUGGUGUUGGGUGACUGUCCGCUUCACCGCGGACUCGCCUCAAAAUUAUUGGCGGCCGGUACAUUGGCUUCGAGCGCAGCAGAAACGCGAACUCGGGCCCGUCGUAUUGGCUCCCAGAAGCUAUCUUCACAAUUUUGACCUCGGAUCAGGUAGGGAUACCCGCUGAACUUAAGCAUAUCAAUAAGCGGAGGA